AUGCGCCUACGGGAGGCAGCAGUGGGGAAUAUUGCACAAUGGGGGAAACCCUGAUGCAGCAACGCCGCGUGAGUGAAGAAGCGCCUCGGCGCGUAAAACCCUGUCAGCAGGGAAGAAAAUGACGGUACCUGAAGAAGAAGCCCCGGCUAACUACGUGCCAGCAGCCGCGGUAAUACGUAGGGGGCAAGCGUUAUCCGGAUUUACUGGGUGUAAAGGGGGCGCAGACGGCGAUGCAAGCCAGGAGUGAAAG
This 250-nucleotide ribosomal RNA is filed under the name uncultured bacterium. Its description in RNAcentral is "partial 16S ribosomal RNA". It matches the Rfam family "Bacterial small subunit ribosomal RNA", at positions 333 to 600 of the family's 1533-position model. The record is from RNAcentral.